CACUUAAUGUCGUACCCUCGCUAUUUGUUAUCUAAGUUAAUGCCGUUUAGUUUUUAUCUCAGUAGUACCGCUAUCAAUUUAUCAAUAGGUGAUAAUGAGGUGGCAAACAUUAAUUUUUAAGCAUUUAGCUUUGGAGAAAUAUUAUGUCUAAAAUCACUGGUACAGUUAAGUGGUUCAACGAAUCAAAAGGUUUUGGUUUCAUCGAGCAAGAAGCGGGCGAAGACGUGUUUGUACACUACCGCGCGAUUCAAGGUGACGGUUUCAAAACUUUAGCAGAAGGCCAACAGGUUGAGUUCGACAUCGAGCAAGGCCCUAAAGGCGCGCAAGCUGCUAACGUUACUAAAGUAUAAUUUAUACUUUAACAGCGUUACAAAAGGCCGCUCUCUGAGCGGCCUUUUUUA
RNAcentral lists this small RNA (401 nucleotides) under Kangiella sediminilitoris. Its description in RNAcentral is "cspA thermoregulator". It matches the Rfam family "cspA thermoregulator". Lineage: Bacteria; Pseudomonadati; Pseudomonadota; Gammaproteobacteria; Kangiellales; Kangiellaceae. The record is from RNAcentral.